AUACGUAGGUGACAAGCGUUAUCCGGAUUUACUGGGCGUAAAGGGCGUGUAGGCGGUCUUGCAAGUCAGAAGUGAAAUUCCUGAGCUCAACUCGGGCGCUGCUUCUGAAACUGCAGGACUUGAGUGCUGGAGGGGAUAGCGGAAUUCCUAGUGGAGCGGUAAAAUGCGCAGAUAUUAGGAAGAACACCGGUGGCGAAGGCGCCUAUCUGGACAGUACGGGACACUGAGGCGCGAAAGGGUGGGGAACAAACAGGAUUAGAUCCCCUUGUAGUCCACGCCGUAAACGAUGAAUACUAGGUGUAGGGGGUAUCGACUCCCGCUGUGCCGCAGUUAACACAAUAAGUAUUCCGCCUGGGGAGUACGGCCGCAAGGUUGAAACUCAAAUGAAUUGGCGGGG
Molecule: ribosomal RNA, 397 nt
Filed under: uncultured bacterium
Lineage: Bacteria
Description: partial 16S ribosomal RNA
Rfam family: Bacterial small subunit ribosomal RNA
Source: RNAcentral